This 450-nucleotide long non-coding RNA is filed under the name Nicotiana benthamiana. RNAcentral's name for it is "long non-coding RNA (NBEN_LNC003165)". The record is from RNAcentral. Lineage: Eukaryota; Viridiplantae; Streptophyta; Magnoliopsida; Solanales; Solanaceae.
UUCGUUAUAGCUGUGCAUCCAGAAUUUUUGUUUCCCAUCUUCCCCAAUCUUCCGUGUGCACUAAGAAAUUUCUUUAACAUUUCUGUAAACGACAGAAUAUGCAUUUAUGAUUACUGCAAGAAUUUGAAGUUUUUGCCUUUGCAAUUUCUUCGAGUACUUGUUUCUCAAUGGUCAGUGAUGUAGUACUACUUGGUUUGACUAGAUAAAUACUCUAAGCAUAUCAUGGCUAGGGCAGUCAAGUUCGGAGAAGCAAAUGGGCCAAGUUUGUUUUAUUCUCAUACAUGUUGAUAUGGGGACAACGGGGGCUUCUGAUUUUGGUGUACUUGGUUGAUGCUCUGCAGUGUCAUGUCUUUCUAUUUUUCUUUAUGUUCAUUUGGUUGAUGCUCUGUACGGCACACAUAAGUUAUGUAUCGGUGCAGAUUACUUUACUUAGUAGAAACUAGUUGAUAA